Molecule: transfer RNA, 62 nt
Filed under: Lynceus grossipedia
Lineage: Eukaryota; Metazoa; Arthropoda; Branchiopoda; Diplostraca; Lynceidae
Description: tRNA-Thr
Rfam family: tRNA
About the family: Transfer RNA (tRNA) molecules are approximately 80 nucleotides in length. Their secondary structure includes four short double-helical elements and three loops (D, anti-codon, and T loops). Further hydrogen bonds mediate the characteristic L-shaped molecular structure. tRNAs have two regions of fundamental functional importance: the anti-codon, which is responsible for specific mRNA codon recognition, and the 3' end, to which the tRNAs corresponding amino acid is attached (by aminoacyl-tRNA synthetases). tRNAs cope with the degeneracy of the genetic code in two manners: having more than one tRNA (with a specific anti-codon) for a particular amino acid; and 'wobble' base-pairing, i.e. permitting non-standard base-pairing at the 3rd anti-codon position.
Source: RNAcentral
ACUUUUAUAAUUUAAAUAAAAUAUUGGUCUUGUAAACCAAAAAUGAAACUUUUCUAAAAGUA